UUAAGCGACUAAGCGUACACGGUGGAUGCCCUGGCAGUCAGAGGCGAUGAAGGACGUGCUAAUCUGCGAUAAGCGUCGGUAAGGUGAUAUGAACCGUUAUAACCGGCGAUUUCCGAAUGGGGAAACCCAGUGUGUUUCGACACACUAUCAUUAACUGAAUCCAUAGGUUAAUGAGGCGAACCGGGGGAACUGAAACAUCUAAGUACCCCGAGGAAAAGAAAUCAACCGAGAUUCCCCCAGUAGCGGCGAGCGAACGGGGAGCAGCCCAGAGCCUGAAUCAGUAUGUGUGUUAGUGGAAGCGUCUGGAAAGGCGCGCGAUACAGGGUGACAGCCCCGUACACAAAAAUGCACAUGCUGUGAGCUCGAUGAGUAGGGCGGGACACGUGGUAUCCUGUCUGAAUAUGGGGGGACCAUCCUCCAAGGCUAAAUACUCCUGACUGACCGAUAGUGAACCAGUACCGUGAGGGAAAGGCGAAAAGAACCCCGGCGAGGGGAGUGAAAAAGAACCUGAAACCGUGUACGUACAAGCAGUGGGAGCACGCUUAGGCGUGUGACUGCGUACCUUUUGUAUAAUGGGUCAGCGACUUAUAUUCUGUAGCAAGGUUAACCGAAUAGGGGAGCCGAAGGGAAACCGAGUCUUAACUGGGCGUUAAGUUGCAGGGUAUAGACCCGAAACCCGGUGAUCUAGCCAUGGGCAGGUUGAAGGUUGGGUAACACUAACUGGAGGACCGAACCGACUAAUGUUGAAAAAUUAGCGGAUGACUUGUGGCUGGGGGUGAAAGGCCAAUCAAACCGGGAGAUAGCUGGUUCUCCCCGAAAGCUAUUUAGGUAGCGCCUCGUGAAUUCAUCUCCGGGGGUAGAGCACUGUUUCGGCAAGGGGGUCAUCCCGACUUACCAACCCGAUGCAAACUGCGAAUACCGGAGAAUGUUAUCACGGGAGACACACGGCGGGUGCUAACGUCCGUCGUGAAGAGGGAAACAACCCAGACCGCCAGCUAAGGUCCCAAAGUCAUGGUUAAGUGGGAAACGAUGUGGGAAGGCCCAGACAGCCAGGAUGUUGGCUUAGAAGCAGCCAUCAUUUAAAGAAAGCGUAAUAGCUCACUGGUCGAGUCGGCCUGCGCGGAAGAUGUAACGGGGCUAAACCAUGCACCGAAGCUGCGGCAGCGACGCUUAUGCGUUGUUGGGUAGGGGAGCGUUCUGUAAGCCUGUGAAGGUGUACUGUGAGGUAUGCUGGAGGUAUCAGAAGUGCGAAUGCUGACAUAAGUAACGAUAAAGCGGGUGAAAAGCCCGCUCGCCGGAAGACCAAGGGUUCCUGUCCAACGUUAAUCGGGGCAGGGUGAGUCGACCCCUAAGGCGAGGCCGAAAGGCGUAGUCGAUGGGAAACAGGUUAAUAUUCCUGUACUUGGUGUUACUGCGAAGGGGGGACGGAGAAGGCUAUGUUGGCCGGGCGACGGUUGUCCCGGUUUAAGCGUGUAGGCUGGUUUUCCAGGCAAAUCCGGAAAAUCAAGGCUGAGGCGUGAUGACGAGGCACUACGGUGCUGAAGCAACAAAUGCCCUGCUUCCAGGAAAAGCCUCUAAGCAUCAGGUAACAUCAAAUCGUACCCCAAACCGACACAGGUGGUCAGGUAGAGAAUACCAAGGCGCUUGAGAGAACUCGGGUGAAGGAACUAGGCAAAAUGGUGCCGUAACUUCGGGAGAAGGCACGCUGAUAUGUAGGUGAAGCGACUUGCUCGUGGAGCUGAAAUCAGUCGAAGAUACCAGCUGGCUGCAACUGUUUAUUAAAAACACAGCACUGUGCAAACACGAAAGUGGACGUAUACGGUGUGACGCCUGCCCGGUGCCGGAAGGUUAAUUGAUGGGGUUAGCGCAAGCGAAGCUCUUGAUCGAAGCCCCGGUAAACGGCGGCCGUAACUAUAACGGUCCUAAGGUAGCGAAAUUCCUUGUCGGGUAAGUUCCGACCUGCACGAAUGGCGUAAUGAUGGCCAGGCUGUCUCCACCCGAGACUCAGUGAAAUUGAACUCGCUGUGAAGAUGCAGUGUACCCGCGGCAAGACGGAAAGACCCCGUGAACCUUUACUAUAGCUUGACACUGAACAUUGAGCCUUGAUGUGUAGGAUAGGUGGGAGGCUUUGAAGUGUGGACGCCAGUCUGCAUGGAGCCGACCUUGAAAUACCACCCUUUAAUGUUUGAUGUUCUAACGUGGACCCGUAAUCCGGGUUGCGGACAGUGUCUGGUGGGUAGUUUGACUGGGGCGGUCUCCUCCUAAAGAGUAACGGAGGAGCACGAAGGUUGGCUAAUCCUGGUCGGACAUCAGGAGGUUAGUGCAAUGGCAUAAGCCAGCUUGACUGCGAGCGUGACGGCGCGAGCAGGUGCGAAAGCAGGUCAUAGUGAUCCGGUGGUUCUGAAUGGAAGGGCCAUCGCUCAACGGAUAAAAGGUACUCCGGGGAUAACAGGCUGAUACCGCCCAAGAGUUCAUAUCGACGGCGGUGUUUGGCACCUCGAUGUCGGCUCAUCACAUCCUGGGGCUGAAGUAGGUCCCAAGGGUAUGGCUGUUCGCCAUUUAAAGUGGUACGCGAGCUGGGUUUAGAACGUCGUGAGACAGUUCGGUCCCUAUCUGCCGUGGGCGCUGGAGAAUUGAGGGGGGCUGCUCCUAGUACGAGAGGACCGGAGUGGACGCAUCACUGGUGUUCGGGUUGUCAUGCCAAUGGCACUGCCCGGUAGCUAAAUGCGGAAGAGAUAAGUGCUGAAAGCAUCUAAGCACGAAACUUGCCCCGAGAUGAGUUCUCCCUGACUCCUUGAGAGUCCUGAAGGAACGUUGAAGACGACGACGUUGAUAGGCCGGGUGUGUAAGCGCAGCGAUGCGUUGAGCUAACCGGUACUAAUGAACCGUGAGGCUUAACCUU
RNAcentral lists this ribosomal RNA (2902 nucleotides) under Escherichia coli. RNAcentral describes it as "bacterial LSU rRNA". It matches the Rfam family "Bacterial large subunit ribosomal RNA". Lineage: Bacteria; Pseudomonadati; Pseudomonadota; Gammaproteobacteria; Enterobacterales; Enterobacteriaceae. The record is from RNAcentral.